UGGGGCAUAGUGUAAUGGUUACCACUCCAGACUUUGAAUCUGGCAAUCCUGGUUCGAAUCCAGGUGCCCCAGCCA
This 75-nucleotide transfer RNA is filed under the name marine sediment metagenome. RNAcentral describes it as "tRNA-Gln". It matches the Rfam family "tRNA". From Rfam's summary of the family: Transfer RNA (tRNA) molecules are approximately 80 nucleotides in length. The record is from RNAcentral.